UCCUUCCACAUAUUUUCUCUAAAUGACGAAAAUACCCUUAGAGUUUGCCCCUCGGCUUUUCCAAACCCUAGCAUCAUAAAUAUCGUAGCAAACCCCCCACACCCUCCUUGAAGCCGCUCAGCGAGCAGAUCGGCGAAGCGAUGAGGGCCAAGUGGAAGAAGAAGCGCAUGAGGAGACUCAAGAGGAAGCGCCGAAAGAUGAGGCAGAGAUCCAAGUAGGUGAUGAAGGUAUCAGCAUCCUUGAUUCCGCAUCUCACAGAAUGUGGUGGUGUCUCUCCUGAUUCUUCCGCCUGAUGUUGAGUGUGUUAAUAGGAGGCGAAACCACCUUCUGUCCCUUGAUUGCUUGUUCAGAACUUAGAAUAUUUUGCUUAGCAGAUUAAUGUUCUUGUGUUUUGUUUGACAAUUGAGAAUUUGUUGAAGGCAUUUUAUUCUGAAACAAUUCAACGUUGACUUCUGGUUUCCAUCAAGAUUUGUUUGGAAAUAUUUGUGCCCUUAGUGAAUUUGUAUAUGCUAUUUCCUA
Phoenix dactylifera (date palm) is the source of this 519-nucleotide long non-coding RNA. RefSeq lists it as uncharacterized. The record is from RefSeq and is a predicted model, not a curated record. Lineage: Eukaryota; Viridiplantae; Streptophyta; Magnoliopsida; Arecales; Arecaceae.